This 328-nucleotide ribosomal RNA is filed under the name uncultured eukaryote. Its description in RNAcentral is "partial 18S ribosomal RNA". It matches the Rfam family "Eukaryotic small subunit ribosomal RNA", at positions 1470 to 1796 of the family's 1831-position model. The record is from RNAcentral.
CCCUUAGAUGUCCGGGGCUGCACGCGCGCUACACUGAAGGAAUCAGCGUGCUAAAACCAUUGUCGAAAGGCAUUGGUAAACCCAUUAAAAUCCUACGUGAUUGGGAUCGGGAAUUGCAAUUAUUUCCCUUGAACGAGGAAUUCCCAGUAAGUGUGGGUCAUAAGCUCGCGUUGAUUACGUCCCUGCCCUUUGUACACACCGCCCGUCGCUGCCCGGGACUGAGCCGUUUCGAGAAAAGCGGGGACUGCUGCUGUCGGGGCUUUCGGGCCUUGGCUUCGGUGGAAACCGCUUUAAUCGCAGUGGCUUGAACCGGGCAAAAGCCGUAACA